GCUUACGGCCACACCGCCUGCUUCACGCCCGAUCUCGUUUGAUCUCGGAAGCUAAGAUAGGUUGGGCUUGGUUAGUACUUGGAUGGGAGACCGCCUGGGAAUACCAGGUGCUGUGGCUU
RNAcentral lists this ribosomal RNA (119 nucleotides) under Scophthalmus maximus (turbot). The record is from RNAcentral. Lineage: Eukaryota; Metazoa; Chordata; Actinopteri; Pleuronectiformes; Scophthalmidae.